UACAGAGGUCUCGAGCGUUGUUCGGAUUCAUUGGGCGUAAAGGGUGCGUAGGCGGUCGGGUAAGUCUGGCGUGAAAUCUCCAAGCCUAACUUGGAAACUGCGUUGGAUACUAUCCGGCUCGAGGAAUGGAGGGGAGACUGGAAUACUUGGUGUAGCAGUGAAAUGCGUAGAUAUCAAGUGGAACACCAGUGGCGAAGGCGAGUCUCUGGACAUUUCCUGACGCUGAGGCACGAAAGCCAGGGGAGCAAACGGG
RNAcentral lists this ribosomal RNA (253 nucleotides) under uncultured bacterium. RNAcentral describes it as "partial 16S ribosomal RNA". It matches the Rfam family "Bacterial small subunit ribosomal RNA", at positions 524 to 776 of the family's 1533-position model. The record is from RNAcentral.